GCCGGUUUAGCUCAGCUGGUAGAGCAACGGUUUUGUAAACCGUAGGUCACCUGUUCGAUUCAGGUAACCGGCACCA
This 76-nucleotide transfer RNA is filed under the name Alphaproteobacteria bacterium. Its description in RNAcentral is "tRNA-Thr". It matches the Rfam family "tRNA". Rfam says of the family: Transfer RNA (tRNA) molecules are approximately 80 nucleotides in length. Their secondary structure includes four short double-helical elements and three loops (D, anti-codon, and T loops). Lineage: Bacteria; Pseudomonadati; Pseudomonadota; Alphaproteobacteria. RNAcentral also lists the same sequence under 1 other name. The record is from RNAcentral.